RNAcentral lists this ribosomal RNA (445 nucleotides) under uncultured bacterium. RNAcentral's name for it is "partial 16S ribosomal RNA". It matches the Rfam family "Bacterial small subunit ribosomal RNA", at positions 354 to 796 of the family's 1533-position model. The record is from RNAcentral.
GUAGGGAAUAUUGGGCAAUGGGUGCAAGCCUGACCCAGCCAUCCCGCGUGCCGGAUGAAGGCCCUCUGGGUCGUAAACGGCUUUUGACGGUGAAGAACCGAAAGGGUGCGCCCUUUUUUGACGGUAGCCGUUGAAUAAGCACCGACUAACUCCGUGCCAGCAGCCGCGGUAAUACGGAGGGUGCGAGCGUUGUCCGGAUUUAUUGGGUUUAAAGGGUGCGUAGGCUGGAGGGACAGUCAGCGGUGAAAAGCAGUUGCUCAACAAUUGUCUUGCCGCAGAUACUACCUUUCUUGGAUUGGGAGGAGGUUACCGGAACGGAUGGUGUAGCGGUGAAAUGCAUAGAUAUCAUCCAGAACGCCAAUUGCGAAGGCAGGUAACUGUACCUAUAUCGACGCUGAUGCACGAAAGCAUGGGUAGCGAACAGGAUUAGAAACCCGAGUAGUCC